AUGUUAACGUAUGAUAUGUUAACAUCGGUUUUUAAAGAACCGAUGUUAGCGUGUAUGCAUUAACAU
This is a non-coding RNA of Glycine soja, 66 nucleotides long. NCBI's taxonomy places the organism in Eukaryota, Viridiplantae, Streptophyta, Magnoliopsida, Fabales, Fabaceae. The record is from Rfam.